UUGUGUUUAUUUCCCUCUGCGUGUCCCAGACUGCAAUACGAACUUCUAGAACAAUAUUCUGGGCAUGAUGCCAUCCACUUCCUGUCGAAGCUGGACUGGUCCAAACAGAGCGUACAGGAAAGCUUCCAGAAGGAUGUGGAAGAAGCCAAAAUCACAAAUAUCUGUCGCGAUAGUGGAAAACACAUAUCGUUCAAUCUGAGCGUGACGGACAAGCCAGCCAUCACCAGCUAUCGCAACGUUACAGAUACGUGCAAGAACUAAUGAAGUGAAGGAACAGCAUACACAUACAUGAAGAGGAGCCCGAGAACUUUAAAACGUUUUUGAAAAAGAUAAAUAAA
Aplysia californica (California sea hare) is the source of this 338-nucleotide long non-coding RNA. RefSeq lists it as uncharacterized. Lineage: Eukaryota; Metazoa; Mollusca; Gastropoda; Aplysiida; Aplysiidae. The transcript is spliced from 2 exons. The record is from RefSeq and is a predicted model, not a curated record.